GAUGAACGCUAGCGGCAGGCCUAAUACAUGCAAGUCGAACGGUGUCUUCGGACAUAGUGGCGCACGGGUGCGUAACACGUAUGCAACCUACCUUACAUUGGGGGAUAGCCUUUCGAAAGGGAGAUUAAUACCGCAUAAGACAGUAGCUGGGCAUCCAGCAGCUGUUAAAGAUUUAUCGAUGUAAGCUGGGCAUGCGUCCAAUUAGCUAGUUGGUGAGGUAACGGCUCACCAAGGCAAUGAUUGGUAGGGGAACUGAGAGGUCAAUCCCCCACACUGGCACUGAGAUACGGGCCAGACUCCUACGGGAGGCAGCAGUAGGGAAUAUUGGGCAAUGGACGCAAGUCUGACCCAGCCAUGCCGCGUGCAGGAUGAAGGCGUUAUGCGUUGUAAACUGCUUUUAUACAGGAAGAAACGACUCUUGCGAGAGGCAUUGACGGUACUGUAUGAAUAAGCACCGGCUAACUCCGUGCCAGCAGCCGCAGUAA
This 485-nucleotide ribosomal RNA is filed under the name uncultured bacterium. Its description in RNAcentral is "partial 16S ribosomal RNA". It matches the Rfam family "Bacterial small subunit ribosomal RNA", at positions 28 to 523 of the family's 1533-position model. The record is from RNAcentral.